RNAcentral lists this ribosomal RNA (584 nucleotides) under uncultured bacterium. RNAcentral's name for it is "partial 16S ribosomal RNA". It matches the Rfam family "Bacterial small subunit ribosomal RNA", at positions 355 to 937 of the family's 1533-position model. The record is from RNAcentral.
UGGGGAAUAUUGCACAAUGGGCGCAAGCCUGAUGCAGCCAUGCCGCGUGUGUGAAGAAGGCCUUCGGGUUGUAAAGCACUUUCAGCGAGGAGGAAGGUGGUGAACUUAAUACGUUCAUCAAUUGACGUUACUCGCAGAAGAAGCACCGGCUAACUCCGUGCCAGCAGCCGCGGUAAUACGGAGGGUGCAAGCGUUAAUCGGAAUUACUGGGCGUAAAGCGCACGCAGGCGGUUUGUUAAGUCAGAUGUGAAAUCCCCGGGCUCAACCUGGGAACUGCAUUUGAAACUGGCAAGCUAGAGUCUCGUAGAGGGGGGUAGAAUUCCAGGUGUAGCGGUGAAAUGCGUAGAGAUCUGGAGGAAUACCGGUGGCGAAGGCGGCCCCCUGGACGAAGACUGACGCUCAGGUGCGAAAGCGUGGGGAGCAAACAGAUUAGAUACCCUGGUAGUCACGCUGUAAACGAUGUCGAUUUUGGAGGUUGUGCCCUUGAGGCGUGGCUUCCGGAGCUAACGCGUUAAAUCGACCGCCUGGGGAGUACGGCCGCAAGGUUAAAACUCAAAUGAAUUGACGGGGUCAUAGCUGUUCCU